RNAcentral lists this non-coding RNA (28 nucleotides) under Mus musculus (house mouse). The record is from RNAcentral. Lineage: Eukaryota; Metazoa; Chordata; Mammalia; Rodentia; Muridae.
UGGUCAAGCCUGUGCCUUUUCCCAAAGU